UGCUGGAGGUAUCAGAAGUGCGAAUGCUGACAUAAGUAACGAUAAAGCGGGUGAAAAGCCCGCUCGCCGGAAGACCAAGGGUUCCUGUCCAACGUUAAUCGGGGCAGGGUGAGUCGACCCCUAAGGCGAGGCCGAAAGGCGUAGUCGAUGGGAAACGGGUUAAUAUUCCCGUACUUGGUGUUACUGCGAAGGGGGGACGGAGAAGGCUAUGUUGGCCGGGCGACGGUUGUCCCGGUUUAAGCGUGUAGGUGUGUGUUCCAGGUAAAUCCGGUUCACUUUAACACUGAGGCGUGAUGACGAGGCACUACGGUGCUGAAGCAACAAAUGCCCUGCUUCCAGGAAAAGCCUCUAAGCAUCAGGUAACAUCAAAUCGUACCCCAAACCGACACAGGUGGUCAGGUAGAGAAUACCAAGGCGCUUGAGAGAACUCGGGUGAAGGAACUAGGCAAAAUGGUGCCGUAACUUCGGGAGAAGGCACGCUGACAUGUAGGUGAAGUGAUUUACUCAUGGAGCUGAAGUCAGUCGAAGAUACCAGCUGGCUGCAACUGUUUAUUAAAAACACAGCACUGUGCAAACACGAAAGUGGACGUAUACGGUGUGACGCCUGCCCGGUGCCGGAAGGUUAAUUGAUGGGGUCAGCGCAAGCGAAGCUCCUGAUCGAAGCCCCGGUAAACGGCGGCCGUAACUAUAACGGUCCUAAGGUAGCGAAAUUCCUUGUCGGGUAAGUUCCGACCUGCACGAAUGGCGUAAUGAUGGCCAGGCUGUCUCCACCCGAGACUCAGUGAAAUUGAACUCGCUGUGAAGAUGCAGUGUACCCGCGGCAAGACGGAAAGACCCCGUGAACCUUUACUAUAGCUUGACACUGAACAUUGAGCCUUGAUGUGUAGGAUAGGUGGGAGGCUUUGAAGUGUGGACGCCAGUCUGCAUGGAGCCGACCUUGAAAUACCACCCUUUAAUGUUUGAUGUUCUAACGUGGACCCGURAUCCGGGUUGCGGACAGUGUCUGGUGGGUAGUUUGACUGGGGCGGUCUCCUCCUAAAGAGUAACGGAGGAGCACGAAGGUUGGCUAAUCCUGGUCGGACAUCAGGAGGUUAGUGCAAUGGCAUAAGCCAGCUUGACUGCGAGCGUGACGGCGCGAGCAGGUGCGAAAGCAGGUCAUAGUGAUCCGGUGGUUCUGAAUGGAAGGGCCAUCGCUCAA
RNAcentral lists this ribosomal RNA (1198 nucleotides) under Salmonella enterica subsp. enterica serovar Infantis. Its description in RNAcentral is "partial 23S ribosomal RNA". The record is from RNAcentral. Lineage: Bacteria; Pseudomonadati; Pseudomonadota; Gammaproteobacteria; Enterobacterales; Enterobacteriaceae.